AAACUCAAUAAUUCACUCUCAUAAGCUCUCUGUUACGCGUGCUCUAGCUGUAUAUCUCGCUCUUACUCUCUUCCCCUCGCGCUCCCGCGAUCUCACUCUCGCAGUCUCUCUCCCGCCAUCUCUCUCCUGCGAUCUCUUACUUGCACUCCAUCCCUCACUUUCGCUAUCUCGCUGUCGGUACUGUUCUUAACUAACAUUUAGUUCUCAAUUUGAAAUAGCUAGGAUUUUUUCGUUUUUGUUUUGAUUUCAUUCAGUUUAGAUUUUCGUUUUUGUUUCGAUUUUAGAUCAUGUGUAUCUUUGGUUUAACUUUUAAAGAAAAUUAUUCUGGAGUGUGGUAGCUAGUUUUUAAAAAUUGACUUAAGCAAUUUUAAUUGAAGC
RNAcentral lists this long non-coding RNA (378 nucleotides) under Vigna radiata. Its description in RNAcentral is "long non-coding RNA (VRAD_LNC004592)". Lineage: Eukaryota; Viridiplantae; Streptophyta; Magnoliopsida; Fabales; Fabaceae. The record is from RNAcentral.